This is a long non-coding RNA of Antechinus flavipes (yellow-footed antechinus), 656 nucleotides long. RefSeq lists it as uncharacterized. The transcript has 2 exons. NCBI's taxonomy places the organism in Eukaryota, Metazoa, Chordata, Mammalia, Dasyuromorphia, Dasyuridae. The record is from RefSeq and is a predicted model, not a curated record.
UGGAGUCUAGAUCGACUGAGAGAGUCAAAAGGGAACAGAUCAAAAGGACAUCAAAGGGACAUCAAAUCAGUCAUUAACUUCUGUAAACAUCUAAGCUACUGUCCUGCACCUAAAAGAGCUGUAUAAAUACAGCCAUGGCUCCUUUCCAUCAGCACCAUUGGGAGAACUUCAGUUCCUGUUUUUUAACUCAGUCACUCAGAAUUCCCAGCCUGACUAGAAUCAUGAGGUCUCUCUGCUUUCUCUUAGGCCUUCUCUUCUUGACUGCAAAAGCUGCAACUGAAAAAGAGGAAGAAUAUAGAGGAGUUAGUUUUCAGGAGGAAGAAAUGGAACCUGGAAGAGAAAUGAAGGAAGAACAGAGUGGGGAAGCUGUCCAAUUGCUGCUGAAUGAGAAUGGCCCUCAAGAUUUCCUUCUGGCCACAUUGGCUGAAGGGCAAAAUAGGAAGCUAAUCUUUAAACGCUGUUCCUGCAGAAAAAACUGUCCAACAGAAAUGAGAAGAGGUCGUUGCUCUGAGUCUUCCUCAAAACAUCUUUGUUGCUCUUCCUGAACUUCAGAGAGCAAUGAACAACAAAGAGAUUUCUGGCUUUUCUUGGGAAUCUACUGAUUGACUCACCACACUUCUGAGCCCUAUUCAUGCAAUUAAAAUAUCAUCCUUUGA